Molecule: ribosomal RNA, 490 nt
Filed under: uncultured bacterium
Lineage: Bacteria
Description: partial 16S ribosomal RNA
Rfam family: Bacterial small subunit ribosomal RNA
Source: RNAcentral
AUUGAACGCUGGCGGCAGGCCUAACACAUGCAAGUCGAACGGUAACAGGAAGACGCUUGCUUCUUUGCUGACGAGUGGCGGACGGGUGAGUCAUGUCUGGGAAACUGCCUGAUGGAGGGGGCUAACUACUGGAAACGGUAGCUACUACCGCAUAACGUCGCAAGACCAAAGAGGGGGACCUUCGGGCCUCUUGCCAUUGGAUGUGCCCAGAUGGGAUUAGCUAGUAGGUGGGGUAACGGCUCACCAAGGCGACGACCACUAGCUGGUCUGAGAGGAUGACCAGCCACACUGGAACUGAGACACGGUCCAGACUCCUACGGGAGGCAGCAGUGGGGAAUAUUGGACAAUGGGCGAAAGCCUGAUGCAGCCAUGCCGCGUGUAUGAAGAAGGCCUUCGGGUUGUAAAGUACUUUCAGCGGGGAGGAAGGGAGUAAGGUUAAUACCUUCGCUCAUUGACGGUACCCGCAGAAGAAGCACCGGCUAACUCCGUG